CUAACCUGCCCAAUGAGGAAUUGAAUGGCCGCAGUAUUCUAACUGUGCUAAGGUAGCAUAAUCAUUUGUCUUUUAAUUGAGGGCUGGAAUGAAAGGUUGGACGAGGUAUUAACUUUCUUUAGUUUAUUUAUAUGAAUUUAAUUUUUAAGUUAAAAAGCUUAAAUUUAUUUGUUGGACGAGAAGACCCUAUAGAUCUUUAUAAUUAUAUAUUUUAAUAAUAUAGGGAUUAUUUUAUUUAAAGUAAAAAAAUUAUUUUGUUGGGGUGACUGUAGAAUUUAUAUAACUUCUAUUUAUUUAUAUCAUUUAUUAAUGUUUUUUUGAUCCAUAAAUUUAUGAU
This 337-nucleotide ribosomal RNA is filed under the name Hospesneotomae nitida. RNAcentral's name for it is "Triatoma nitida partial 16S ribosomal RNA". The stretch from base 1 to 162 matches the Rfam family "Archaeal large subunit ribosomal RNA", at positions 1946 to 2143 of the family's 2987-position model. Lineage: Eukaryota; Metazoa; Arthropoda; Insecta; Hemiptera; Reduviidae. The record is from RNAcentral.